GAUGAACGCUGGCGGCGUGCCUAAUACAUGCAAGUCGAGCGAACAGACGAGGAGCUUGCUCCUCUGACGUUAGCGGCGGACGGGUGAGUAACACGUGGAUAACCUACCUAUAAGACUGGGAUAACUUCGGGAAACCGGAGCUAAUACCGGAUAAUAUAUUGAACCGCAUGGUUCAAUAGUGAAAGACGGUUUUGCUGUCACUUAUAGAUGGAUCCGCGCCGCAUUAGCUAGUUGGUAAGGUAACGGCUUACCAAGGCAACGAUGCGUAGCCGACCUGAGAGGGUGAUCGGCCACACUGGAACUGAGACACGGUCCAGAGUCCUACGGGAGGCAGCAGUAGGGAAUCUUCCGCAAUGGGCGAAAGCUUGACGGAGCAACGCCGCGUGAGUGAUGAAGGUCUUCGGAUCGUAAAACUCUGUUAUUAGGGAAGAACAAAUGUGUAAGUAACUAUGCACGUCUUGACGGUACCUAAUCGGAAAGCCACGGCUAACUACGUG
RNAcentral lists this ribosomal RNA (497 nucleotides) under uncultured bacterium. RNAcentral describes it as "partial 16S ribosomal RNA". It matches the Rfam family "Bacterial small subunit ribosomal RNA", at positions 28 to 507 of the family's 1533-position model. The record is from RNAcentral.